AGAGUUUGAUCCUGGCUCAGGACGAACGCUGGCGGCGUGCCUAAUACAUGCAAGUCGAACGAGAGCGACCGGUGCUUGCACUGGUCAAUCUAGUGGCGAACGGGUGAGUAACACGUGGGUAACCUGCCCAUCAGAGGGGGAUAACAUUCGGAAACGGAUGCUAAAACCGCAUAGGUCUUCGAACCGCAUGGUUUGAAGAGGAAAAGAGGCGCAAGCUUCUGCUGAUGGAUGGACCCGCGGUGCAUUAGCUAGUUGGUGAGGUAACGGCUCACCAAGGCCGUGAUGCAUAGCCGACCUGAGAGGGUGAUCGGCCACAUUGGGACUGAGACACGGCCCAAACUCCUACGGGAGGCAGCAGUAGGGAAUCUUCCGCAAUGGACGCAAGUCUGACGGAGCAACGCCGCGUGAGUGAAGAAGGUUUUCGGAUCGUAAAACUCUGUUGUUAGAGAAGAACAAGUGCUAGAGUAACUGUUAGCGCCUUGACGGUAUCUAACCAGAAAGCCACGGCUAACUACGUGCCAGCAGCCGCGGUAAUACGUAGGUGGCAAGCGUUGUCCGGAUUUAUUGGGCGUAAAGCGAGCGCAGGCGGUUCCUUAAGUCUGAUGUGAAAGCCCCCGGCUCAACCGGGGAGGGUCAUUGGAAACUGGGGAACUUGAGUGCAGAAGAGGAGAGUGGAAUUCCAUGUGUAGCGGUGAAAUGCGUAGGUAUAUGGAGGAACACCAGUGGCGAAGGCGACUCUCUGGUCUGUAACUGACGCUGAGGCUCGAAAGCGUGGGUAGCAAACAGGAUUAGAUACCCUGGUAGUCCACGCCGUAAACGAUGAGUGCUAAGUGUUGGAGG
Molecule: ribosomal RNA, 840 nt
Filed under: uncultured bacterium
Lineage: Bacteria
Description: bacterial SSU rRNA
Rfam family: Bacterial small subunit ribosomal RNA
Source: RNAcentral